This 497-nucleotide ribosomal RNA is filed under the name uncultured bacterium. Its description in RNAcentral is "partial 16S ribosomal RNA". It matches the Rfam family "Bacterial small subunit ribosomal RNA", at positions 28 to 507 of the family's 1533-position model. The record is from RNAcentral.
GAUGAACGCUGGCGGCGUGCCUAAUACAUGCAAGUCGAGCGAACAGAUGAGGAGCUUGCUCCUCUGACGUUAGCGGCGGACGGGUGAGUAACACGUGGAUAACCUACCUAUAAGAUUGGGAUAACUUCGGGAAACCGGAGCUAAUACCGGAUAAUAUAUUGAACCGCAUGGUUCAAUAGUGAAAGACGGUUUUGCUGUCACUUAUAGAUGGAUCCGCGCCGCAUUAGCUAGUUGGUAAGGUAACGGCUUACCAAGGCAACGAUGCGUAGCCGACCUGAGAGGGUGAUCGGCCACACUGGAACUGAGACACGGUCCAGACUCCUACGGGAGGCAGCAGUAGGGAAUCUUCCGCAAUGGGCGAAAGCCUGACGGAGCAACGCCGCGUGAGUGAUGAAGGUCUUCGGAUCGUAAAACUCUGUUAUUAGGGAAGAACAAAUGUGUAAGUAACUAUGCACGUCUUGACGGUACCUAAUCAGAAAGCCACGGCUAACUACGUG